Molecule: long non-coding RNA, 333 nt
Organism: Zea mays
Lineage: Eukaryota; Viridiplantae; Streptophyta; Magnoliopsida; Poales; Poaceae
Exons: 2
Source: RefSeq, a predicted model, not a curated record
ACGUCAGCCAGUUGGUCAUGAUCUUGCCGAGUGCAUGGCCGAGGUGGUUGUCCAUCUUCUUCCCCACCGUCGGUGACCACGCCGGCUGAUUCUCUAUCUCCUCGUGGCCAGCACGGACCAAGGUAAUCAGGAGCUUUCUAGGUGUCCCUGUGGCUGGAAGAUGCUUCCAGUCUUGAAGGAGGAUUAGUUAGGUUUAUGUGUGAACUUUGGAAGGGUUCUACCUUCCUGCUAUGGUAAUAAGUUAUGCAUUUUGAGUUCUAUCAGGACUUGUAAUAAUUAUAAAUCUUUCUAGCAUGUAAAACUUGAGUUUUGGAAUAAAGAAUGUUUUGUAAA